Long non-coding RNA from Homo sapiens (human), 673 nucleotides. Ensembl annotates it as RNF139 divergent transcript. Its record names the gene RNF139-DT. NCBI's taxonomy places the organism in Eukaryota, Metazoa, Chordata, Mammalia, Primates, Hominidae. The record is from Ensembl.
UUUCGGUAGCCGCGCUUUCCGGCGUUGGAGUUGCAGCUUCACCCUCGCAGAUUCGGCUUAGCGAGCGAGUCGGUGCUUCCGCGGAUCAAAAUUAUUAGCCGUUUUAUUAGAGCCCAUUAAACGUUGCAUAAACAUGGUUCAGAGCUGCCUGGGAGAAGAAAAGCCAAAGGAUGCCACCCUCUCGAUUUAUCCCACCCUCGGGAGUCUGAAAGCCGACGCCAGGAGAAAUCCCGCGAAGGCCGCCCGGGAUCCUGGUAGAGGCGACGCUGUGUGCGUUUAUGGAGCGCUUGCGGUGCGUGGCACUAGGCUGGGUGUGGUGGGUGCUGCCGAAAAAAGGGUUCCUCCCAUCCAUUUGCACGUCACCCUUCCCACCUCCUGCCCAGAUGGACAGAAGUGAGGACAUUCAUCGGCCGCAUUUUACUAAUGGCAAGGAGAUAGCGACUGAAGGGCAAGAACCUAGGGUUUCCUGUCUUUGAUAUUUCUCAUCUUUGAGCAAAAGGAGAGAGGCCAUUAUGGGGAAAAAGAUCCAAAAGGACUCAUCUAAAACACAAGUUGGGUAGAGGAGAUAGGUGAGUACUAUUAUAUUAUGUUCAUGGAAAAUGAGUUCAUGGGCUUUCCUCUAAUUUUUAUUUUAAAAAUAAAUGUAAAUAUUAAAUAAAAUUUUUUAAAUGAA